Molecule: ribosomal RNA, 774 nt
Filed under: uncultured prokaryote
Description: bacterial SSU rRNA
Rfam family: Bacterial small subunit ribosomal RNA
Source: RNAcentral
GAUGAACGCUGACAGAAUGCUUAACACAUGCAAGUCGAUUCAAGUUACCUUCGAGUAAUGAGGAUGGCGGACGGGUGAGUAACGCGUAAGGAACUUGCCUCUUGGUCUGGGACAACUGUUGGAAACGACAGCUAAUACCGGAUAUUAUGAGAUUCUCGCAUGGGAAACUUAUGAAAGCUAUAUGCGCCAAGAGAGAGCCUUGCGUUCCAUUAGCUAGUUGGUGGGGUAACGGCCCACCAAGGCGACGAUGGAUAGCCGGCCUGAGAGGGUGAACGGCCACAAGGGGACUGAGACACGGCCCUUACUCCUACGGGAGGCAGCAGUGGGGAAUAUUGGACAAUGGGCCACAAGCCUGAUCCAGCAAUUCUGUGUGCACGAUGAAGGUCUUCGGAUUGUAAAGUGCUUUCAGUUGGGAAGAAGAAAGUGACGGUACCAACAGAAGAAGCGACGGCUAAAUACGUGCCAGCAGCCGCGGUAAUACGUAUGUCGCAAGCGUUAUCCGGAUUUAUUGGGCGUAAAGCGCGUCUAGGCGGAAAAAUAAGUCUGAUGUUAAAAUGCGGGGCUCAACUCCGUAUUGCGUUGGAAACUGUUUUUCUAGAGUACUGGAGAGGUGGGCGGAACUACAAGUGUAGANGUGAAAUUCGUAGAUAUUUGUAGGAAUGCCGAUGGAGAAGUCAGCUCACUGGACAGAUACUGACGCUGAAGCGCGAAAGCGUGGGGAGCAAACAGGAUUAGAUACCCUGGUAGUCCACGCCGUAAACGAUGAUCACUAGG